GAAUCUUGGACAAUGGGGGCAACCCUGAUCCAGCGACGCCGCGUGGGUGAUGAAGGCCUUCGGGUUGUAAAGCCCUUUCGACGGGGACGAUGAUGACGGUACCCGGCGAAGAGGCACCGGCUAACUCCGUUCCAGCAGCCGCGGUAAGACGGAGGGUGCUAGCGUUGUUCGGAAUCACUGGGCGUAAAGGGCGCGUAGGCGGCUUUGGCAGUCGGCUCGUGAAAGCCCGGGGCUCAACCCCGGAGGUGCGGCCGAUACACCGAGGCUUGAGGCCGGAAGAGGAGGGUGGAAUACCCAGUGUAGAGGUGAAAUUCGUAGAUAUUGGGUGGAACACCGGUGGCGAAAGCGGCUCUCUGGUCCGGUCCUGACGCUGAGGCGCGAAAGCGUGGGGAGCAAACAGG
RNAcentral lists this ribosomal RNA (401 nucleotides) under uncultured bacterium. RNAcentral describes it as "bacterial SSU rRNA". It matches the Rfam family "Bacterial small subunit ribosomal RNA", at positions 359 to 776 of the family's 1533-position model. The record is from RNAcentral.